AAAACUUUCAACAACGGAUCUCUUGGUUCUGGCAUCGAUGAAGAACGCAGCGAAAUGCGAUAAGUAAUGUGAAUUGCAGAAUUCAGUGAAUCAUCGAAUCUUUGAACGCACAUUGCGCCCCUUGGUAUUCCGGGGGGCAUGCCUGUUCGAGCGUCAUUUC
Molecule: ribosomal RNA, 160 nt
Filed under: Trimmatostroma salinum
Lineage: Eukaryota; Fungi; Ascomycota; Dothideomycetes; Mycosphaerellales; Mycosphaerellaceae
Also listed under: 1 other name
Description: 5.8S ribosomal RNA
Rfam family: 5.8S ribosomal RNA
About the family: 5.8S ribosomal RNA (5.8S rRNA) is a component of the large subunit of the eukaryotic ribosome. It is transcribed by RNA polymerase I as part of the 45S precursor that also contains 18S and 28S rRNA. Functionally, it is thought that 5.8S rRNA may be involved in ribosome translocation.
Source: RNAcentral